GCCCUGCAUGAGGGAUAGCUCAGUCGGUAAAGCAUGAGACUCUUGAUCUCAGGGUUGUGGGCUCGAGCCCCAUGUUGGGCA
This 81-nucleotide transfer RNA is filed under the name Podarcis lilfordi (Lilford's wall lizard). Its description in RNAcentral is "tRNA.Lys". The stretch from base 16 to 73 matches the Rfam family "tRNA", at positions 8 to 63 of the family's 71-position model. Rfam says of the family: Transfer RNA (tRNA) molecules are approximately 80 nucleotides in length. Their secondary structure includes four short double-helical elements and three loops (D, anti-codon, and T loops). Further hydrogen bonds mediate the characteristic L-shaped molecular structure. tRNAs have two regions of fundamental functional importance: the anti-codon, which is responsible for specific mRNA codon recognition, and the 3' end, to which the tRNAs corresponding amino acid is attached (by aminoacyl-tRNA synthetases). tRNAs cope with the degeneracy of the genetic code in two manners: having more than one tRNA (with a specific anti-codon) for a particular amino acid; and 'wobble' base-pairing, i.e. permitting non-standard base-pairing at the 3rd anti-codon position. Lineage: Eukaryota; Metazoa; Chordata; Lepidosauria; Squamata; Lacertidae. The record is from RNAcentral.